RNAcentral lists this ribosomal RNA (421 nucleotides) under uncultured bacterium. RNAcentral's name for it is "bacterial SSU rRNA". It matches the Rfam family "Bacterial small subunit ribosomal RNA", at positions 356 to 774 of the family's 1533-position model. The record is from RNAcentral.
GAGGAAUAUUGGGCAAUGCCCGCAAGGGUGACCCAGCAACGCCGCGUGGAGGAUGAAUGUCGUAAGAUUGUAAACUCCUGUUAGAGGGGAAGAAUAGUACCGGUUGGACCGGUAUAUGACUGUACCCUCAGAGAAAGCCCCGGCUAACUACGUGCCAGCAGCCGCGGUAAUACGUAGGGGGCAAGCGUUGUCCGGAUUUACUGGGUGUAAAGGGCGCGCAGGCGGAAUGGAAAGUCAGUGGUGAAAUCCUACAGCUUAACUGUAGAACUGCCGUUGAUACUUUCAUUCUUGAGUUCGGGAGAGAGAGACGGAAUUCCAGGUGUAGUGGUGAAAUACGUAGAUAUCUGGAAGAACACCAGUUGCGAAGGCGGUCUCUUGGUCUGAUACUGACGCUGAGGCGCGAAAGCGUGGGGAGCAAACA